Molecule: transfer RNA, 68 nt
Filed under: Encarsia obtusiclava
Lineage: Eukaryota; Metazoa; Arthropoda; Insecta; Hymenoptera; Aphelinidae
Description: tRNA-Tyr
Source: RNAcentral
AGUAAAAUGUCUGAUAAAAAGUAAUAAAUUGUAAAUUUAUUUAUAGAAUUAAUUAAUUCUUUUUACUA